UUGGGGCGACGGCCAGAAGUCCAGGGCUAGGAGCCUCAGCCGGCGGACGCCAGGAAACAGGCUCCCUCUGCAGUGGAAUUACCCUUAUGUCUUUUCUGUCUAUGCUGAUCCACCUGAUCUUGAACUGGUGCUAUUCCAUGGGGAAAAUUGGAACAUGGGGCAAUUAACACUUUCUCCACUUUAUCCCAUCAACAGGAAAUUGAAAUAUAACCAACUAACUCAGGAGACAUCAUGGAAGAUGUCACACAGUGAAUGAUGAUGAAGCAGAAUUUUUAAAAUGUGUAGGAUUACGAGAAGUGGGGUCAUUUUUCUUUGUGUAUGGUAUUGCUGAUGCAGUUUAAUGCUCCAUUACUUCUAAAUUUUCAUCAUAAGCUAGAUUUUCCAGUUGUGGUUUCUAUAAAGAAAAACAAACAUUCUGAAGACAGUUUUUCCAGAUUUAUUCCAGAUAUCGAUGAUUAACUUUUGAAGAAAUAUCUGAAUGAAAUGCUCAUGAAAGGAUUAAGAAAGUCUGCAGUUGAGCCUGGAGCCAGCAAAAGACAUCAUCACUAAAAGUAUAUGCAUGACCCGCAUUUGUUGCCUUUAUGGUCCUUACCCAAGAUAUUUGAAUUCACCAGAAUGGUCUUAAUAUGGUAUUGUAAGUACCUGGAUCUGAAAACCAUUAAGUAUGAGAGUGCGCUGUAUUGGUGAUGCCAGUUUGUGGACUCCUUAUGUAAAUAAAUGAAGGACAAGUUAAAAACUGCAGUCACUCAUGUGAAAUAUAAAAGGCUGGCAGAAUACGGCUAAAUGUCGAGGUCUAGCCCAAUGUGUGAGAUUUAGAGAAAUCAUGUAUUCCAAUAAAAUCAGAUAUACUCCUGAAA
Molecule: long non-coding RNA, 857 nt
Organism: Homo sapiens (human)
Lineage: Eukaryota; Metazoa; Chordata; Mammalia; Primates; Hominidae
Product: long intergenic non-protein coding RNA 879
Source: Ensembl